This is a long non-coding RNA of Ostrinia nubilalis (European corn borer), 4013 nucleotides long. RefSeq lists it as uncharacterized. The transcript is spliced from 2 exons. NCBI's taxonomy places the organism in Eukaryota, Metazoa, Arthropoda, Insecta, Lepidoptera, Crambidae. The record is from RefSeq and is a predicted model, not a curated record.
UUGGGACAAUUGGUUGUCAUUUGUUAAAACCUUUUCCCAAACGUACAAGGUAGCUACAAUCCUACAUCCUAAACCAAUUAAUGAUCCACGUCCCUACGUCAAAAUUAAUAUUGCUAACAAUGAGUCCCUGUCAAUGUAUGGUCUGUUGGACUCUGGAUCUGUGGUCAGUAUUUUAGGCAAAAACUCUCAUGUUAUGUUGACUAAAUGUGGUUUUAAAAUAGCUGAUACUCAAAUUAUUGAAGUUACAGCUGCUGGUGGUCAGAGAAUGAAAUCGCUGGGAAUCAUGCAUUUACCUAUAGUUUUUAAUAAAAAGUCUGCUACUAUUACGGCUCACAUUAUACCGGAAGUGGAUAUUCCAUUAGUUCUCGGAAUUGAUUUUUGGUCUUCAUUUAAUAUUCUGCCCAAUAAUUUACCUAAAAUUUCUUUUCUUUUUCAAGACGAUCCUAAAGUCAUGGAAAUAUCUUUAAAUAAUGGUAUCCAUUCUUAUGAAAAUCUCACUGAGCAGCAGAGAAAAAUAGCUGAUAAAACCAUCAAGCAAUUCACGGAUAUAUCUUUUGAACAUAAAGGUCUAGGCAGGACACACUUAAUCACCCACAAAAUUGAUACUGGCGACGCCAGUCCUAUUAAGCAAAGAUAUUACCGUAUGUCACCGGUAAAACAAAAAAUAAUCGCGGAACAGGUUGACGAAAUGCUUGCUAUGGACGUAAUAGAACCCAGCGAAAGUCCAUGGUCUUCUCCUGUACUGGUGGUGGAUAAAAAAGAUGGAAAGCCACGUUUCUGCCUAGAUAGCCGUAAACUAAAUUCUAUAACUAAGAAAGACGCCUAUAACUUACCCUAUGUUUCUGAAAUUUUGGACAAUCUAAGAGAAGCUAAAUAUAUGUCAAAGCUAGACCUAUCUAAAGCUUUUUGGCAAAUUCCAAUCCACCCCCCGGAUCGCGAGAAGACCGCUUUCUAUGUUCCAGGUCGCGGCACAUUAAUGUUCAAAGUCACUGCGUUCGGUUUGUCCAAUGCUCCAGCAACUCAGCAGCGUCUUGUAGAUCUCCUCUUCGGAAAUGACUUUGAAUUAAAGGUGUUUUGUUUCCUUGAUGACGUCAUCAUUAUCAGCAAAACAUUCGAGGAGCACGUAUCACUCCUAAAUCGUGUGCUGACUAAACUAAGUGACGCAAAUCUGACGAUUAAUCUAAGCAAAUGUCAGUUCUUUUGCAGUCGGUUGCGCUAUCUCGGGUACGUGGUGGAUGAAAAAGGUCUCCGUACUGACCCUGAAAAGGUGGACGCUAUUUUAAAUUUUCCUACUCCUACAAAUAAAAAGGAAGUUAAGCGUUUUCUGGGUACAGCUUCGUGGUACAGACGUUUCAUCCCCCAAUUCAGCACUAUUGCUGGACCCCUAAAUAAACUAACUUCCACUAAAAAAAAUUCUCCAGCCUUUAAAUGGACUCCGGAAGCUGAUAGGGCAUUUCAGCAUCUGAAGUCACUUUUAGUAGAAGCUCCAAUUUUGGCUUGUCCUAACUAUGAAAUGCCAUUCGACGUCCAUACAGAUGCUAGCAAUUUCGGGGUUGGAGCAAUGUUGUCACAGACUAUCGACGGCAUCGAGCAUCCGGUUGCCUACAUGAGCCGGUCUCUCUCAGGUGCCGAACGUAAUUAUAGUGCGACAGAAAGAGAAGCUCUCGCUGUUCUGACUGCAUUAGAACACUGGCGCUGCUAUGUCGAAAACGGUAAACCAUUCUCAGUCUAUACAGACCAUUCGGCCUUAAAAUGGUUUCUAUCUCUUUCAAAUCCUACUGGUCGCCUUGCGAGGUGGGGUGUUCGAUUAUCCUCAUUCAAUUUCGAGAUAAAACAUCGUCGAGGCAAGGACAAUAUUAUCCCGGAUGCUUUGUCUCGAUGUGCUGUCGCUGCAGUUACUACAACAUCAUCUUCCAGCUCAAGUGAUGACACUAUCAGCUCUUCCACGCCCUCACCUCCACACACUACAGACAACUGGUAUUUAAAUAUUUUUAACGGAUGCUUAACGACACCAUCUAAAUUUCCAAAUUACAGGUUAGAAGGAAAUGUUUUAUAUCGGUACAUGAAAUGUAACAACACCCUUCUUUCUGAAUUUAGCUGGAAAGAGGUUGUUCCAAAUGAAUAUCGCGAUAGAACUAUAUUAGAUAAUCAUGCUAAUGAAACAGCAGCUCACUUAGGUGUUUUUAAAACGUAUCGCCGCCUUCUAUUAAAAUAUUAUUGGCCUGGUAUGUAUAGCGAUGUCGUUAAGGCGGUUACUAACUGUCAAGUCUGCCUAGCCUAUAAACAACCUACUCAUGGUACUCUAGGUAAAAUGGGAAGACCAAAAGAGUGUUCACGUCCAUUCCAGACACUCUCUAUUGAUCUGGUCGGACCCUUACCCGUUAGUAGAAAACAAAACUGUUACUUGUUUGUGAUAACCUGCUGCUUUUCUAAAUAUUGCUUAUUGUUUCCUCUUAGACAGGCUACUUCUACGGCUGUCUGUAAAAUUCUAGAGGACAAUGUAUUCCUGGUUCAUGGCAUUCCUCAAACCAUCAUUAUGGAUAAUGGCUCUCAAUUUAUAAGUAAGCAGUUAGACACUCUACUAAGUAAAUAUAAAAUUCCAAACGUUCACUUUACACCAAAAUAUACACCACAGGUCAAUACAGUGGAAAGAUACAAUAAAACCAUAAUAACAGCUGUAUCCACACUUAUUAACAAUGACCACAGGGCAUGGGAUAUAUUUUUACCUAAGAUACAGUUUGCUAUAAAUAACUCCGUAAACGAAGUAACUGGCCAUACACCUUCAUUUCUAGUGCAUGGUCGUGAAUUGGUCACUUGCGGUUCACAUUACAUAGAAAAUGAUGUUUCAAACGAAAUUUUGUUUCUACCACGAGACGCUUACGCGGAGAAUUUGGGACAUUUGGCAACGGUUUUUGACCAAGUUCAAACUGCUUUAUGGCGUAGCCACCAAAAAACGACUCAACGUUAUAACCUACGCAGAAAAGAUGCUGAAUUCUCAGUGGGUGAUACCGUUUGGAAGAGGUGUUUUUUCCAAAGCGAUAAAGCUGCUCACUUUGCGAAGAAACUAGCUCCCAAAUUUGAGAAGUGCCGUAUUAUAGGUAAACGUUCCCCUCUUGUUUACAUCUUAGAAGAUAAAGAUGGACGUGAUAUUGGGGCCUGGCAUAUUAAAGAUCUCAAACUGAAAAUGUAUGAAGCUUAGCAACGCUAUUACGAUAGUUUCGAUUUAACUUAGGUUAAAUCUUUUCUAAGGAGGGGGAUAUUGUCACGAUUAACGUGAACUUCUCGUUACUAAUAUACUUAAACUUUAAAAUAAACUAAACAUUGUCCAUAAAAAUAUUAAACCUAAAAAUAAAACCUUACUUGCUAAUAUAAACACUACUUACUUAAACUAUAAACUAUACAUAAUUAAAUACUAAAUAAAACUAAACAUAAUACUAACUUUCAAACAAAAUCCUAAUCCAUACGUCAUUUAAAUGUGCAUCGAAAUGUUACUGCGCUGUUCUCGCUAUUAAAAUCGUACGGGUUAUUUGGUGUUUUGUUUACCGCGUCUCAAAGUAAAAAACUGCCGUGAGGAUCGCACCGGCGGCGCCACGCAGACUAGUUCGGCGGCCGAGACGAGUGCGGUCGUCCCUACUGCAUUGAAUGCAAACCUAUUUCACGCUCGACUGAUUUCUCAAGUCGUUCAUAAGCGAUUUACUAUUUUCGCAUACUUCUAUUAGUGCUAGUAACACUUUACUACUGCAAGAUCAGUGUUAAUUAUAAUUAUUUCAACCCCUUGACCGGGGUUUUUAUGCCGGGCAUAAUAUUAAGGGCAGACUACACCACGCUCAAGCAAGGAAGAAGCCAACUGAAGCUGUCAAACACCUACCUCAGGCCAGUGUUGGAACUACUUAACCGUCCCGGUGAUACCAAAUUACUUUUAAUAAGAAAGAACCUGACCCUGAGACUAUUUAAUUUUAGAUUUUUAUUAUUAAGAGAUAAUUGCAGAAGUUCAAUAAACUUAUUAUUUUGUU